GGGCUCGUAGCUCAAUUGGCAGAGCAGCGGACUCUUAAUCCGCGGGUUGAAGGUUCGAUUCCUUCCGGGCUCACUA
RNAcentral lists this transfer RNA (76 nucleotides) under Myxococcales bacterium FL481. RNAcentral describes it as "tRNA-Lys". It matches the Rfam family "tRNA". Rfam says of the family: Transfer RNA (tRNA) molecules are approximately 80 nucleotides in length. Their secondary structure includes four short double-helical elements and three loops (D, anti-codon, and T loops). The record is from RNAcentral. Lineage: Bacteria; Pseudomonadati; Myxococcota; Myxococcia; Myxococcales.